Molecule: long non-coding RNA, 363 nt
Filed under: Vulpes vulpes (red fox)
Lineage: Eukaryota; Metazoa; Chordata; Mammalia; Carnivora; Canidae
Description: lncRNA (ENSVVUG00000018411.1)
Source: RNAcentral
UACAAGUCCUGGAGUUGCCAUCCAGCCCAUGAUGGAGAUGGAUUUAAGGGAUCUCAGGAUCUCACUCAGGGGAUACGAACUCUCAGGUCAGCACCUUUCUCUUCUUAUGGAGACAUCUAAAUUACAACCAGAGUCACAUCACCAGGUGAGCUCAAGCAGAAGACCUUGAGGGCAAAGCAUCCCCUGAAGAGAACCAAAACGACUCCCUCAAGCAAUUAAGACUGCCCUGGGCCAGCAAGACCCUCACUGUGAUUGACUCCAAGACAGUGAUCUACUCGAUCUUCACUGUCUACCUGCAGGUACCCACCCACCUUUGUCCCACAUUUUCCUUACAUAAACAUGGAAUUAUUUUUGGUACUUUGG